This 298-nucleotide unclassified non-coding RNA is filed under the name Hevea brasiliensis (rubber tree). The record is from RNAcentral. Lineage: Eukaryota; Viridiplantae; Streptophyta; Magnoliopsida; Malpighiales; Euphorbiaceae.
GGAGCUUUCAUCAUUCGUCCACGUCCACGUCCACGACAACAGCAACAACAACAACAAUAACUAAUGAGGGCGAUAAAUAUUGUGAUGAUAAGAAAGGGUAAAGCUACGUGAAACCAGUGAUUGAUUUUGUCUUUUCGAGUGUCUGGUGGAAACACUUUAUCGAACCAACUAAGGAAUUGACCACUGAAAUUGUUAAGUAAAAGGAAGAGUUCCUUUAAUUUUUCAAUUGCAUAGUUUUUAACUUCCUCAAUUCCCAUCUUGAUGAUCAAUAAAGAUUUUUAGAUAAUGAGAAGUGUGA